CUGGAGAACGUGAGGGGGGCUGCUCCUAGUACGAGAGGACCGGAGUGGACGCAUCACUGGUGUUCGGGUUGUCAUGCCAAUGGCACUGCCCGGUAGCUAAAUGCGGAAGAGAUAAGUGCUGAAAGCAUCUAAGCACGAAACUUGCCCCGAGAUGAGUUCUCCCUGAGACUUAGAGUCUCCUGAAGGAACGUUGAAGACGACGACGUUGAUAGGCCGGGUGUGUAAGCGCAGCGAUGCGUUGAGCUAACCGGUACUAAUGAACCGUGAGGCUUAACCUUAC
RNAcentral lists this ribosomal RNA (280 nucleotides) under Salmonella enterica subsp. enterica serovar Agona str. 400095 13. RNAcentral describes it as "partial 23S ribosomal RNA". It matches the Rfam family "Bacterial large subunit ribosomal RNA", at positions 2652 to 2925 of the family's 2925-position model. The record is from RNAcentral. Lineage: Bacteria; Pseudomonadati; Pseudomonadota; Gammaproteobacteria; Enterobacterales; Enterobacteriaceae.